This 120-nucleotide ribosomal RNA is filed under the name uncultured bacterium. RNAcentral describes it as "partial 16S ribosomal RNA". It matches the Rfam family "Bacterial small subunit ribosomal RNA", at positions 215 to 334 of the family's 1533-position model. The record is from RNAcentral.
CCGCAUCGGGAGGGGCCCGCGGCCCAUUAGCUUGUUGGUGGGGUAACGGCCUACCAAGGCUGCGAUGGGUAGCUGGUCUGAGAGGACGAUCAGCCACACUGGGACUGAGACACGGCCCAG